CUUUGCAGGUCAUUGAAGAACUUUAAUCAGGGAAGUGAUGUAACAGAAUUUUGGAAGGGUCACCCUGGCUACGGUGUAACCUAGAAUGACUCAGAAGAGAUAAGACUAGAGGCAGAGAUACUAGCUAAGAAGCUGUUGCAACAAUGAAAGAAGAAAUGAUGAGAACCUAAACUAAGGCAAUACUAAUAGAAGCAAAGAGAAGGGAAGAGAUUUCACAAGUUUAUAAGAAGAAAGUGGUAGGACUUGAAAGUUAAUUGGAUGUAAAGACCAAAGCAAGGGGCAGUCAAGGAUGGCUCCUGGAUUUCUGGCUUGAGAGACUAGGUGGAUGAAAGAGCAGGUAGAAUGAGAAAGAUGAUGCUUUCAGUUUGGGAUAGGUCAAGUUUUGGGUCCCUUAUAGGUCUUUCAGGGAGAAAUGUCUAGCAGGGAUUUGGAUAGAAAUGUCUGGCACUCAGGAGAAAUAGAGAUGAGAACACCAAAGACAGAAUAUAUGGUUCUUCUAGAAGAUCCACUUUCAAUUUUACUAAAGUGAAUGACCCACUUUGAUGAAAAGAAUAAUGACUUCUAAGGUCUCUUACAACUCUAAUGUUACAAUUCUAUUGUUCCAUCUGGAAUUGCCUUUUGAAGACAGCACACCUGUGGCCUAAAACUUCCUUGGUGAACAUGUGAAAUAUUUUUUAAUGAAAGCCCAUUACAUAUAAAGCCAUACAACCCCAAACAUGCAGUGAUAAUGCUUAUAGCAAAGAAAAACCAAGUAAAGACACUAUCUACAUUUACCUACUCUGAUCCCAAUUGGCUGCAAACAGCAAAAGAAUCUUCCUGCCGUAAUGGUCUCGGUUUUCCAGCACCCCGGGGAACCCAUCGAUCAGAGCCCUCUUAAUGCCGGGAUCAUCUGCCUUGAAGUUUUUGAACAUGUCCAGGUUUAGCUGGCGGUACUGGAAAUACUGAGCCAGGAGUCUAAAGGCAUCCGCUUGGUGAAACUUCCUGGCUCGGAGAAAUCUCAGGAUGAAGGCAUCAUCUGGAUCCUGCAAUAGACAGAAGAAAGAUAAUUCCCUGGGAAGUGCUGAGAUCCAUGUAACCGUGACCCUUCUUCUGGAUGUGAUUGCACAGACAAUGGCAGCAGUGGGAAUCACAGCUAAGAAAACUGCCUGGGAAAAGUAAAACACAUCAGCAAGCUUAAGGGGUGGUCCAUGCAUCAGCAGUGGCAGCAGAACCCAGGACCUUGUUAGUGACACAGCAUGUCAGGACUCACUUAGACCUACUGAACAGCUGGCAUCAAGACUUUUAUAUUGGAGGAGCCAAGAUGGCCGAAUAGGAACAGCUCCGGUCUACAGCUCCCAGCGUGAGCGACGCAGAAGAGGGUGAUUUCUGCAUUUCCAUCUGAGAAACCCCAAUUCCCACCAACUUCAGAUCUCCAUUCCUACCAACUUCAGCUCUGCUGGUAUGUGGACAUCAGAGAAGGGGGAACUGGAAACUGAACUCUGACCAUAUCAUUCUGUGUUCUAAAUGUCUUCCUGAGGGGCCUGGAGGAAGUUACACUCACAAGCCAGAGCUAACAUUCUUUUCUGCUGACCCCAAAUUUUAAAAUAAAGCUUCUCUUCCUUAACCAAUUGCAAUUCAAAAAAUCUUUGAAUCUGACUACGGUCUGUAAGCCUCCACUUCAAGAUAUCCUGCCCUUUUAGGGCGAAACCAAUGUGUAACCUUGAUGUAUUGAUUUACGAUUUUGCCUGUAACUUCUGCUUUCCUGAAAUUUACUCCUGCUGUUAAAAGACACUUACCUGUAAGCUACUGGGGAGGUCAGGACUCAAGCAUUAGCUGCUUGAUCCUCCUUGCUUGGCACCCUGAAAAUAAAUGCCUUCCAUUUUUCCCACUGCAAUCUUCGGUGUGCAUAUCUGGUAUUACUGCACCAGGUGAGCAGACCCCAUUUCAUAUCGUUAAACUCAGAGAAAGUUCCAAUUUGGAGCUAGAACAUUCAGC
This 1974-nucleotide long non-coding RNA is filed under the name Homo sapiens (human). RNAcentral describes it as "HSALNT0347200". The record is from RNAcentral. Lineage: Eukaryota; Metazoa; Chordata; Mammalia; Primates; Hominidae.